GCCAGAGGGGAGGACGUGGGGCUAUCAGUCCAACUCCUCAGUUAAUAGCCAGGGAAACAGAAGCCCAGGGAGAUAAAGACGGUGGCAGAGGAGGAAUUCUUUCUUAGCAGAUCUUCCAUUCCUAAUCCAGGAUCAUUUCCAGGGCUCCCAGGUUCUCAAGAUGCUUGAAUCCUGGGACAAACACAGAGGAAGGAGCUCCUAAGGAUGGGGGCAGUGGUGAGGAAACAGGCCACUGAGACAGUGAUGGUGUUUGUAGGCAAAGAAGCUACUUGUAUUUGCCAACCACACCAGGAGGCCAGACUCGCCGCAGGGCACAGCACCCUCCAGAAAAACAGGUCACUGAAAAUAAUAUCAGGGGAGGAAGUCAAGAAGGCUGCUGUAUUCAUUCUGCUUUAAUGAGUAGAGGAGAAAUCUUUUGCCACAUUUGGAGAAAGGAUUGAAGAGAAAUGAGAGCCUGGAUGUGAAGAAAACAUUAGGAAGCUGCAGCAGUAACCUAUGUGAGAAAUUAAGAGAACCUAAAUCAGAUCCGUUGGCCAUCAAGAUUUCACUCAUUUUGAGACCUAGAGAUUGGUGCUCCUGGAGCUGUGAAAUGCGUGGCCUCUGUAGCCCUGUGAAGGUCUUGUUUCUAUGGCGAUACAAGAGAAAGUCUUUGCAGAGUUGUUGCAGCUGGAAGUCUUCACUUACUUUAAGAGCUCAUUAAAGCUAGUGGAGCCUUCCAAACCUGAAAUGAACUGCUCCUUACAGAACUGCCAAAAGGAAGAAAUAGAAAAGAAAAAAGAAGCAAUAGGUCCAAAAAGUCAAGAGAAGCUAUGCUGUACCCUCAACACUCUGCCUAGAGAUUUCUUCCAUGAAAUAUCCUAGUUCACAUCUGCCUCCUGCAAACUACUAGGACAUGGACACUGCUCAGCCAAGUUCUGUGCCAAUUUGUAACAAGAAUGGCCUUUCCUCCUAUUUCCAAUAAGGCCCCAUCAGCAGAGGGAGGAGAAGAGGAGAAGCAGCUGGACAUCAGAGACUAUGGUUGGACAUUGGAGAGAAGCAGCUUGACUUCAAAGGGACGGCUUGAUGGCAUUGCUUCGGAGAGGAGUUCAGCCAGGGACAGCUGGACUCUAGGGGAAUAUUAUCUUCCCACACCAUCCACUUUUCAGCUCCCCUUCCCACUGAGAACCACUUUCAUUGGCAA
This 1180-nucleotide long non-coding RNA is filed under the name Homo sapiens (human). RNAcentral's name for it is "HSALNT0375751". The record is from RNAcentral. Lineage: Eukaryota; Metazoa; Chordata; Mammalia; Primates; Hominidae.